This is a long non-coding RNA of Artibeus jamaicensis (Jamaican fruit-eating bat), 307 nucleotides long. RefSeq lists it as uncharacterized. The record is from RefSeq and is a predicted model, not a curated record. The transcript is spliced from 3 exons. NCBI's taxonomy places the organism in Eukaryota, Metazoa, Chordata, Mammalia, Chiroptera, Phyllostomidae.
CGCACUUUCCCGGGCUUUUCGCGCGUCGCUUGAGGGAGUACUUACCGUCCCAGAAAGCUCAGGUUGCCAGAACAAGCUCAAGGUUGAAAAGUGCUCAGUAGGACCAGGCAUAGUGUGGGCCUCUUCUCUUGUGGUUUCACUUGCCAAUGGCUGCUAUUUUGACAAUUGUCAUGAACACAGAAUCAUGCAAUAGCAGCUGUAGAUUAAGAAGACUGAACAUUUGUGAAUUGAGAUAGUGUUGUGAUAAAUGAAACAAAAAAUUAAUUUGACAUACUUCAGAUAUAUUUAAUUUUUCUGCUGGAUGAUU